Molecule: ribosomal RNA, 468 nt
Filed under: uncultured bacterium
Lineage: Bacteria
Description: partial 16S ribosomal RNA
Rfam family: Bacterial small subunit ribosomal RNA
Source: RNAcentral
GACGAACGCUGGCGGCGUGCUUAACACAUGCAAGUCGAACGGAAAGGCCCUGCUUUUGUGGGGUGCUCGAGUGGCGAACGGGUGAGUAACACGUGAGUAACCUGCCCUUGACUUUGGGAUAACUUCAGGAAACUGGGGCUAAUACCGGAUCGGAGCUCCUGCUGCAUGGUGGGGGUUGGAACGUUUCGGCGGUUGGGGAUGGACUCGCGGCUUAUCAGCUUGUUGGUGGGGUAGUGGCUUACCAAGGCUUUGACGGGUAGGCGGCCUGAGAGGGUGACCGGCCACAUUGGGACUGAGAUACGGCCCAGACUCCUACGGGAGGCAGCAGUGGGGAAUAUUGCACAAUGGGCGGAAGCCGGAUGCAGCAACGCCGCGUGCGGGAUGACGGCCUUCGGGUUGUAAACCGCUUUCGCCUGUGACGAAGCGUGAGUGACGGUAAUGGGUAAAGAAGCACCGGCUAACUACGUG